RNAcentral lists this ribosomal RNA (253 nucleotides) under uncultured bacterium. RNAcentral describes it as "partial 16S ribosomal RNA". It matches the Rfam family "Bacterial small subunit ribosomal RNA", at positions 524 to 776 of the family's 1533-position model. The record is from RNAcentral.
UACGUAGGGGGCUAGCGUUGUCCGGAAUCAUUGGGCGUAAAGCGCGUGUAGGCGGUCCGGUAAGUCCGCUGUGAAAGUCGAGGGCUCAACCCUCGAAUGCCGGUGGAUACUGUCGGGCUAGAGUGCGGAAGAGGCGAGUGGAAUUCCUGGUGUAGCGGUGAAAUGCGCAGAUAUCGGGAGGAACACCUAUGGCGAAGGCAGCUCGCUGGGACGUUACUGACGCUGAGACGCGAAAGCGUGGGGAGCAAACAGG